RNAcentral lists this long non-coding RNA (201 nucleotides) under Homo sapiens (human). Its description in RNAcentral is "HSALNT0290004". Lineage: Eukaryota; Metazoa; Chordata; Mammalia; Primates; Hominidae. The record is from RNAcentral.
AGAGCUCCUCUUGCCAGGAACAAAGCGACAGCCGUCUGCUGGUGAGCUGGGCUAAUCCUGUUAAACAAUUCACAGAUCUGACGCCGGACACGCUUUUUGAAACCUGAGGAACAGGAAAGGAGAUACAGUCAUGGAGGGAAGAUGGCCAUGUGAAGAAGGCAGAGAUUGGAGUGUUGUUGCCACAAGCUGAGGAAUGUCUGG